GCCCCCCUCCUCUUGGAAGCUUCCUUUGCCUUUCUCGGGUACAGACUGUGAGCCCGCCGGGGUCCGAUUCAUCAGCCUAACACGUGGCACAUGGCAGGUUCUCUGAGGUGGGAGAGGCUGGGGUAGGAAGGGUCAGGCCCGCAGGCCCCUCCCCGGGCUCAGGGACACCCAUUUGCCUUCUAGCCAGAGCCUCCUGGAGACCAGAGCCCCGUGGGAGGCAGCCUCGAGUCUCUCAGACUUUCAGGGAAGCUGGGAGGUGGUGUUUUCUGGGACAGGUCGGUCCUUGUGGAGAUCCCAGGUCACACUGGGAGGUGGGCCCCGCCCAGGGCUUGGAGCCAAGUCCUCUUAGCAAUCAGCCACCCAGACCUUCCUUGUCCUGCCCUUCAAGCUUUCCCAUCUGGGAAAUAUGGGGUUACAGGACCCCAGAGCUUUGGAGAUCUUCCAGAAGGAAAUGGGAACAGGGAGGAACGGUGGGACCCUUGUUCCCCAGGUGUGGUCAGACAGAGGCCCUGCAGCCCCAAAGCAGUGUGAUCUAGAGCCCAGCCUAGUUGGGGGAAGUCAGGCCAGUGCAAGGUGGGCUGGACGCUGUAGCCUGGCUGAGAAAGCCAUGAGUGCCCUGCCUGCAGGCCAAGAACCAGGGGCCUUGUACUUGAGCUGAACAGGCCUGAAGCUUUGCGGGCAGGCGUAUGCUUCCCGAUCUCCGCACACUCGAGACUGAAGGCAGAAUAUAAUCUCAAAGCAAGCCCCUGGGAUAGUACCAGGCAGGCAAGGCGGCAGCUCUCCAGAUCCCUCUACUGCACAGGUGCAUUAAAAGGGGAUGGACAGCUGCCUCCACGUGGGCUGGGGAACCCAGAGAGGACCGAGAUAUUGCCUCAAAGAUGUCUUUCAUCCCCACUGACGGCUGCCCACGUUCCCCAUGGGAGCUUCAUCCUUUAACUAAAUCUGGGCCCUAUUAGAAUGGGCCUUCAAGCAGCCAGACACAGCUGAGUCCAACCACAGCCCAAGCUGUCUCAGAUACCUUUGGAACACAUCCUUCCAUUUGCACAUCCUUUUUGUUGUUGAGUCACUAAGUCAUGUCCGACACUUUGCGUCCCUAUGGAC
This is a long non-coding RNA of Bos taurus (domestic cattle), 1101 nucleotides long. The record is from Ensembl. Lineage: Eukaryota; Metazoa; Chordata; Mammalia; Artiodactyla; Bovidae.